Molecule: ribosomal RNA, 254 nt
Filed under: uncultured bacterium
Lineage: Bacteria
Description: partial 16S ribosomal RNA
Rfam family: Bacterial small subunit ribosomal RNA
Source: RNAcentral
UACGUAGGGUGCGAGCGUUAAUCGGAAUUACUGGGCGUAAAGGGUGCGCAGGCGGUUAUAUAAGACAGAUGUGAAAUCCCCGGGCUCAACCUGGGGAACUGCGUUUGUGACUGUAUGACUAGAGUACGGUAGAGGGGGAUGGAAUUCCGCGUGUAGCAGUGAAAUGCGUAGAUAUGCGGAGGAACACCGAUGGCGAAGGCAAUCCCCUGGACCUGUACUGACGCUCAUGCACGAAAGCGUGGGGAGCAAACAGG